RNAcentral lists this ribosomal RNA (814 nucleotides) under uncultured bacterium. Its description in RNAcentral is "bacterial SSU rRNA". It matches the Rfam family "Bacterial small subunit ribosomal RNA", at positions 32 to 828 of the family's 1533-position model. The record is from RNAcentral.
AACGCUGGCGGCAGGUCUAACACAUGCAAGUCGAGCGGCAGCGACAUAAACAAUCCUUCGGGUGCGUUUAUGGGCGGCGAGCGGCGGACGGGUGAGUAAUGCCUGGGAAAUUGCCCUGAUGUGGGGGAUAACUAUUGGAAACGAUAGCUAAUACCGCAUAAUAGCUUCGGCUCAAAGAGGGGGACCUUCGGGCCUCUCGCGUCAGGAUAUGCCCAGGUGGGAUUAGCUAGUUGGUGAGGUAAUGGCUCACCAAGGCGACGAUCCCUAGCUGGUCUGAGAGGAUGAUCAGCCACACUGGAACUGAGACACGGUCCAGACUCCUACGGGAGGCAGCAGUGGGGAAUAUUGCACAAUGGGCGCAAGCCUGAUGCAGCCAUGCCGCGUGUAUGAAGAAGGCCUUCGAGUUGUAAAGUACUUUCAGCAGUGAGGAAGGUGGAGUCGUUAAUAGCGGCCUCAUUUGACGUUAGCUGCAGAAGAAGCACCGGCUAACUCCGUGCCAGCAGCCGCGGUAAUACGGAGGGUGCGAGCGUUAAUCGGAAUUACUGGGCGUAAAGCGCAUGCAGGUGGUUUGUUAAGUCAGAUGUGAAAGCCCGGGGCUCAACCUCGGAAUUGCAUUUGAAACUGGCAGACUAGAGUACUGUAGAGGGGGGUAGAAUUUCAGGUGUAGCGGUGAAAUGCGUAGAGAUCUGAAGGAAUACCGGUGGCGAAGGCGGCCCCUGGACAGAUACUGACACUCAGAUGCGAAAGCGUGGGGAGCAAUCAGGAUUAGAUACCUGCUAGUCUACGCGUAAACGAUGUCUACUUGGAGGUUGUG